AUCAUACCUGAUAGUUCUGUACUGACAAGGCUAACUGCAAUCGUGGAAACAGAGAUGGAAGUUCACUCAGGAACCAAGUUAGGAGCAAGACCUUGCCCCACAUCUUUGUAGUCUUCUCAAUUUUCUCAGUUCUUUUUUGAAUAUACAGAAAAACAAAUAGAAUAGAUGUUUCUGAGAAGCCAAGUCACCUGGACAUACCCUCCUUUUCUAUUGUAAAUAAGCCCUGUGAAAAUAUGGUCAUCUGUAGUACCCUCAUCGUAUUCCCAGCAUUAGCAACCACACACUCAAGCACGUUUUAUAUCUUCAAUCGGUUUGCAUGCAUGGCUUGAGAAGGUCCUAUCCUGCCAACUAAGAAAAAAACUGUAUAUGCUAUAGUUUAUUUUCUUUUCACAAAGGGAUUAACCUCAGCCUAAGGCACACUUAUGAAUUUUAUGACUUGGAAAAUAUUUCUUUCAUAGACACCAGGAUCUUACCUGCUCUACUGCCCAGCCAAAUAGGACUUCUCCCAUCCCAGGCCCUUCAGAGAGGCAGCACACAGCAUUCCAGGAGCCAAGAGACGUCAAGCAUCACCAAGCUACACGAGGAUUUUGUGGGCACGUCACACUCUGGGAGCUAAGCCAGAGGGAACAGAAGGCACCAAACUGCUCUGAAAAGUGACUUAUUGUCCAACUGAUGAAGAACAUUUAUUCAAGAUUUUCACAUUAAACAACAUGGCAAAGCCUCAAGAAAUUCCUCAGCCAAGCCCAGCAUCACUG
This 755-nucleotide long non-coding RNA is filed under the name Struthio camelus australis. RNAcentral describes it as "lncRNA (ENSSCUG00000001149.1)". The record is from RNAcentral. Lineage: Eukaryota; Metazoa; Chordata; Aves; Struthioniformes; Struthionidae.